AUACGGAGGGUCCGAGCGUUAAUCGGAAUUACUGGGCGUAAAGCGCGCGUAGGCGGAUAUUUAAGUCAGAUGUGAAAUCCCUGGGCUCAACCUAGGAACUGCAUUUGAAACUGGAUAUCUAGAGUACGGUAGAGGUGAGUGGAAUUUCAGGUGUAGCGGUGAAAUGCGUAGAGAUCUGAAGGAACAUCAGUGGCGAAGGCGACUCACUGGGCCAUUACUGACGCUGAGGUGCGAAAGCGUGGGUAGCAAACAGGAUUAGAUACCCUGGUAGUCC
This 274-nucleotide ribosomal RNA is filed under the name uncultured bacterium. RNAcentral's name for it is "partial 16S ribosomal RNA". It matches the Rfam family "Bacterial small subunit ribosomal RNA", at positions 523 to 796 of the family's 1533-position model. The record is from RNAcentral.